AAUCCACCCCUCUCUCGUACGGCGCUACCUAGGGUUGCGACUCACGCCGCCACCGACGGCCAUCACAGGGGCCACCUUCCUUCCACCACCACCCACCCCAGUCGCGAGCGUCCACCUCCCCCUCCCUCCCAUGGCGCCACUGCCCCAACCCAUGCCCAGCUCCCUCUUCCCACCUUUCCAUGGCAGGAGAUCUGAGGAGCGCAAGGGCCCUUCGCUCCUAGUGGUCUGAAGCGAGGCAGGCGGCCUCUGCUUCCUCCGCGUCCAGCGAAGUAGGAAUAGGGUGGCAGGUGGCCCCAUCUCCCCAUCUACUAUCAGUGACCACGAGUAGCCACCCAUGGCAGCAACGACAUGGCUUUCCACUGAUGAGAGAAAAAUGGCCGUUCACAAGACUACGACCACUGAUGACAAGAGGAUUCAAAGGACCUUGAAAAUGUGCAAGCAUCCAUAACUUCAAACACAUGGGUUGUCACUUGUCAGUGGAACACCAUGGACAAAAAAGCUACAAGAUCUACGGGCAACACUUAUCAACCAACUUCUGUAAGGUCUGACUGGUUUUGGAUAGAAAUAUUCAAUAGAGAACUCUGUAAUCAAACCUACCCACAUGUUAACAUGUGAGGGUGCAACUGAAUUGCUGUACAUGAAUCUGGAACGAGAGAGGAAGAACUGAGGAUUCUUCAAGAAGCUGCUUCUAUUUAUGCACAAUGGCGUAGUAGCCAGCACGCGUAAUUUUUCCAUUCUACCCAGCCAUGAAGAAGGCGCCCACCCAUGAGCUAUUAAUCAGAAGCAAACAUAAGGAAAUGAACCAUGAAGCCGGCGAUCCACGUCAACUGGAUGUUUUAGCUUUCAUUUUGUACAACUGAUGUCUCAUAGUUGUGUCUUUUUGCUGUCCUUAUGUAAACCUAAUGUAUGGUAUCUUGUCUUGCUGGUUAGAACAAAUUGAACUCUAUGUAUGUGACAAUUAGUUAAUGGAAUAAAAAUGGUUUGGUGCACCUGAC
Triticum aestivum (bread wheat) is the source of this 995-nucleotide long non-coding RNA. RefSeq lists it as uncharacterized. The record is from RefSeq and is a predicted model, not a curated record. The transcript has 7 exons. Lineage: Eukaryota; Viridiplantae; Streptophyta; Magnoliopsida; Poales; Poaceae.